Molecule: long non-coding RNA, 303 nt
Filed under: Pan troglodytes (chimpanzee)
Lineage: Eukaryota; Metazoa; Chordata; Mammalia; Primates; Hominidae
Description: long non-coding RNA NONPTRT005342
Source: RNAcentral
AACAGAUACAAUCAGCAACAGAAGUUCACAAGUUAUUGGUUACAUAUUUAUGCUCACUGGCAUGUAGGUUAUAAUUACACGCACUAAUAAUGCUAUCCAAGUGGAAUCUGCAAUUGAAAUGUUUCCAAAAUAGACCUAAAAAUCUUAAAUAAAAUAUUAGCAAAUGAAAUAUGGAAGAAUAUUAAAGGAAUGAAAGCCCAUGGUCAUAGAAUGGUUUCUUUUUUUUUUUUUCCGAGACAGAGUCUCACUCUGUCACCCUGGCUGGAGUGCAAUGGCACGAUCUCGGCUCACUGCAACCUCUGC